RNAcentral lists this ribosomal RNA (640 nucleotides) under Meripilus longicystidius. RNAcentral describes it as "eukaryotic LSU rRNA". The stretch from base 231 to 384 matches the Rfam family "5.8S ribosomal RNA". Lineage: Eukaryota; Fungi; Basidiomycota; Agaricomycetes; Polyporales; Meripilaceae. The record is from RNAcentral.
CGGGACCGUGCGGGAGGGACUUAUUGAAUUCCAACCGGGCGAGAUUGUUGCUGGUCCCUCGGGGCAUGUGCACGUCUUGUCCACAAACCUCUCAUACCCCUGUGCACUUUUCAUAGGAUAGCUCGCGGCUGUCAACCUCCUCGGUCGAUGACUGCAGCUGUUCUGUGUCAUUUUUAUAAACUUGUUGUCAGUUUUGAAUGUCUAUUUUGUGUAUAUGCACAUUGAAAUACAACUUUCAGCAACGGAUCUCUUGGCUCUCGCAUCGAUGAAGAACGCAGCGAAAUGCGAUAAGUAAUGUGAAUUGCAGAAUUCAGUGAAUCAUCGAAUCUUUGAACGCACCUUGCGCUCCUUGGUAUUCCGAGGAGCAUGCCUGUUUGAGUGUCAUGGUUAUUUCAAUUCCCUCGUUCUCUUUUGAACGGAGUGAUAUUGGACUUGGAGGCAUUUUGCUGGUGAUACCAAGCCAGCUCCUCUCAAAAACAUCAGUGUGAAGGUCACUUUAUGCUCAGUGUGAUAAUUAUCUGCAUUGUGCCGAGUGUUACUAUCUCAUGCUUCGAACCGUCUUCGGACAAUCUGAUCAACAUCUGACCUCAAAUCAGGUAGGACUACCCGCUGAACUUAAGCAUAUCAAUAAGCGGAGGAA